RNAcentral lists this non-coding RNA (21 nucleotides) under Caenorhabditis elegans. Lineage: Eukaryota; Metazoa; Nematoda; Chromadorea; Rhabditida; Rhabditidae. The record is from RNAcentral.
UAUUCGAUGAAUAUGAAUUUA